GCAGUGGGUACGGGCAGACUAGAGUGCGGUAGGGGAGAAUGGAAUUCCUGGUGUAGCGGUGGAAUGCGCAGAUAUCAGGAGGAACACCGAUGGCGAAGGCAGUUCUCUGGGCCGUAACUGACGCUGAGGAGCGAAAGGUGGGGAGCGAACAGGAUUAGAUACCCUGGUAGUCCACGCCGUAAACGUUGGGCGCUAGAUGUGGGGCCGUGUCGCAGCUAACGAUUAAGCGCCCCGCCUGGGGAGUACGGCCGCAAGGCUAAAACUCAAAGGAAUUGACGGGGGCCCGCACAAGCGGCGGAGCAUGCGGAUUAAUUCGAUGCAACGCGAAGAACCUUACCAAGGCUUGACAUACAGGUGGUGCAUGGUUGUCGUCAGCUCGUGUCGUGAGAUGUUGGGUUAAGUCCCGCAACGAGCGCAACCCUCGUUCUAUGUUGCAACUCAUAGGAGACUGCCGGGGUCAACUCGGAGGAAGGUGGGGAUGACGUCAAAUCAUCAUGCCCCUUAUGUCUUGGGCUUCACGCAUGCUACAAUGGCCGGUACAAAGGGCUGCAAUACCGUAAGGUGGAGCGAAUCCCAAAAAGCCGGUCUCAGUUCGGAUUGAGGUCUGCAACUCGACCUCAUGAAGUCGGAGUCGCUAGUAAUCGCAGAUCAGCACGCUGCGGUGAAUACGUUCCCGGGCCUGCACACACCGCCCGUC
RNAcentral lists this ribosomal RNA (697 nucleotides) under uncultured bacterium. RNAcentral describes it as "bacterial SSU rRNA". It matches the Rfam family "Bacterial small subunit ribosomal RNA", at positions 623 to 1398 of the family's 1533-position model. The record is from RNAcentral.